GACGAACGCUGGCGGCGUGCUUAACACAUGCAAGUCGAACGGAAAGGCCCUGCUUUUGUGGGGUGCUCGAGUGGCGAACGGGUGAGUAACACGUGAGUAACCUGCCCUUGACUUUGGGAUAACUUCAGGAAACUGGGGCUAAUACCGGAUAGGAGCUCCUGCUGCAUGGUGGGGGUUGGAAAGUUUCGGCGGUUGGGGAUGGACUCGCGGCUUAUCAGCUUGUUGGUGGGGUAGUGGCUUACCAAGGCUUUGACGGGUAGCCGGCCUGAGAGGGUGACCGGCCACAUUGGAACUGGGAUACGGCCCGGACUCCUACGGGAGGCAGCAGUGGGGAAUAUUGCACAAUGGGCGGAAGCCUGAUGCAGCAACGCCGCGUGCGGGAUGACGGCCUUCGGGUUGUAAACCGCUUUCGCCUGUGACGAAGCGUGAGUGACGGUAAUGGGUAAAGAAGCACCGGCUAACUACGUG
RNAcentral lists this ribosomal RNA (468 nucleotides) under uncultured bacterium. RNAcentral's name for it is "partial 16S ribosomal RNA". It matches the Rfam family "Bacterial small subunit ribosomal RNA", at positions 28 to 507 of the family's 1533-position model. The record is from RNAcentral.